This 437-nucleotide unclassified non-coding RNA is filed under the name uncultured Bordetella sp. RNAcentral describes it as "partial 16S-23S ribosomal RNA intergenic spacer". Lineage: Bacteria; Pseudomonadati; Pseudomonadota; Betaproteobacteria; Burkholderiales; Alcaligenaceae. The record is from RNAcentral.
ACUAUAAGGAGUAUCCUAAUCCUGUUGCUCCCCACGCUUUCGUGCAUGAGCGUCAGUGUUAUCCCGGAGGCUGCCUUACUUCAUCAGUGUUCCUCCGCUCUGCAUGAUUCGCACCGCGGAAUUCCACUCCUCUGACACUCAGCUCGGUAAGUUAAAAAUGCAGUUCCAAAGUUAAGCUCUGGGAUUUCACAUCUUCCUUUCCGAACCGCCUGCGCACACUUUACGCCCAGUAAUUCCGAUUAACGCACCUACGUAUUACCGCGGCUGCUGGCACGUAGUUAACCAGUGCUUAAUGCAGGUACCGUCAGUUGCGCAGUGUGUGUCGUGCCGUUUCUCCUGCAAAAGUGCUUUACAACCCAGGCCUUCAUCGCACACGCGGAUGGCUGGAUCAGGGUUUCCCCAUUGUCCAAAAUUCCCCCCCACUGCUGCGCCCCGUG